AUUUCAGAUAAUGACAUGGCUAUGAGGAACAAGGAAUGGUCAUCCGAUCAUUCCAGGUGUAACUUUUAUGUAUGCGACAUACUUCAUUUCACCUCAUUUGGAAACAAUAUUUUGUUUGGCGAGGUGCUCAAGACGCUGGAAAGUAUUUGUUUUAGCCAGCAGAGUCUCUGGUCAGAUAUCCCUCUGUUCCAUUUAAAUUGACCCGAAGGACCCAUUGGAAAGCAUUGGAAAUUUGAGCAAGUACAUUCCGUAAGGUGCAAGGAAGCUCUGGUUUCUGUUGCAUUUUCCACGUUUGAUAUAUAACCACCAUCAUGUGAUUGAAAGUGGAUUGGUUAGGAAGGAGGAGUGCGGCCGCGCUUGGUGAUUAAAGGCUACAACAACGAUGUGGCUGGCUGGUUGUUGACUACUCCGUGGCGCAGAAUAUCUCCAUGGUGUCGUUAGGCCGUGGGUGUGUCCUUCGGUAUGUCCUUCUUUCUGUUGCUCUGGUCCGUUCAUUUUCUGGCGAUGCUGAGCUACAAGAAGAGACUAACGUUAGUGGGAUAUGAGAUGCUUGGUCAGAAAUUCAUAAGAUCAGCCUGUGAUGUUUCUUUCCCGGUCACAGUUGCUAGCCCCAGACCCAGCCAAUGAAGUUAGGCUGGCAUGUCAUCGUGAUCAAAACCUGAUGUAAAGUGUGCUCUGUUUUCUACAUUGCAACAUGAGAUCUGCACGAAAUCAAUCACAGAGGAAAAGAUCCUCAGAUCGACAUGAAGCAAGGACACAAGAAGGCAUGAAGAUCAACUAGCAGUCGCAUAUGAUCAUGGCGGACCUAUAUAUUGUUCAAUAUUGACGAGAAGCCGCACCUGAAAUGAUGGUGAGGUAGAAGGUACCCCUCUAAGACAGCCCUGAAAGGGAACAUGAUGUACGUGAGGACACGAGAUGUGCAUACUGGUGCCCAAUGCAAUAUUUCUUUGCUAACUUAUCUCUCACAGGCAAUAAAUAUUUCAGAUAUGCUUAUGUUCUGUCCCUUCUCCGUAAGGAUAAAAUAGUCUGACUUAAAAAAUGUAACCAAGAAACAAAUAACUGAUUCCCACAUUUGGGAGAUCCAAAAAUGUUCCAGCUUAUAUAAGAACAAAAUUUGUUGCUUCCAGUAACUAUAA
Lolium perenne is the source of this 1136-nucleotide non-coding RNA. The record is from RefSeq and is a predicted model, not a curated record. Lineage: Eukaryota; Viridiplantae; Streptophyta; Magnoliopsida; Poales; Poaceae.